Molecule: ribosomal RNA, 1260 nt
Filed under: Vibrio campbellii
Lineage: Bacteria; Pseudomonadati; Pseudomonadota; Gammaproteobacteria; Vibrionales; Vibrionaceae
Description: bacterial SSU rRNA
Rfam family: Bacterial small subunit ribosomal RNA
Source: RNAcentral
AGAGUUUGAUCAUGGCUCAGAUUGAACGCUGGCGGCAGGCCUAACACAUGCAAGUCGAGCGGAAACGAGUUAUCUGAACCUUCGGGGGACGAUAACGGCGUCGAGCGGCGGACGGGUGAGUAAUGCCUAGGAAAUUGCCCUGAUGUGGGGGAUAACCAUUGGAAACGAUGGCUAAUACCGCAUAAUGCCUACGGGCCAAAGAGGGGGACCUUCGGGCCUCUCGCGUCAGGAUAUGCCUAGGUGGGAUUAGCUAGUUGGUGAGGUAAGGGCUCACCAAGGCGACGAUCCCUAGCUGGUCUGAGAGGAUGAUCAGCCACACUGGAACUGAGACACGGUCCAGACUCCUACGGGAGGCAGCAGUGGGGAAUAUUGCACAAUGGGCGCAAGCCUGAUGCAGCCAUGCCGCGUGUGUGAAGAAGGCCUUCGGGUUGUAAAGCACUUUCAGUCGUGAGGAAGGUAGUGUAGUUAAUAGCUGCAUUAUUUGACGUUAGCGACAGAAGAAGCACCGGCUAACUCCGUGCCAGCAGCCGCGGUAAUACGGAGGGUGCGAGCGUUAAUCGGAAUUACUGGGCGUAAAGCGCAUGCAGGUGGUUUGUUAAGUCAGAUGUGAAAGCCCGGGGCUCAACCUCGGAAUUGCAUUUGAAACUGGCAGACUAGAGUACUGUAGAGGGGGGUAGAAUUUCAGGUGUAGCGGUGAAAUGCGUAGAGAUCUGAAGGAAUACCGGUGGCGAAGGCGGCCCCCUGGACAGAUACUGACACUCAGAUGCGAAAGCGUGGGGAGCAAACAGGAUUAGAUACCCUGGUAGUCCACGCCGUAAACGAUGUCUACUUGGAGGUUGUGGCCUUGAGCCGUGGCUUUCGGAGCUAACGCGUUAAGUAGACCGCCUGGGGAGUACGGUCGCAAGAUUAAAACUCAAAUGAAUUGACGGGGGCCCGCACAAGCGGUGGAGCAUGUGGUUUAAUUCGAUGCAACGCGAAGAACCUUACCUACUCUUGACAUCCAGAGAACUUUCCAGAGAUGGAUUGGUGCCUUCGGGAACUCUGAGACAGGUGCUGCAUGGCUGUCGUCAGCUCGUGUUGUGAAAUGUUGGGUUAAGUCCCGCAACGAGCGCAACCCUUAUCCUUGUUUGCCAGCGAGUAAUGUCGGGAACUCCAGGGAGACUGCCGGUGAUAAACCGGAGGAAGGUGGGGACGACGUCAAGUCAUCAUGGCCCUUACGAGUAGGGCUACACACGUGCUACAAUGGCGCAUACAGAGGGC